RNAcentral lists this ribosomal RNA (406 nucleotides) under uncultured bacterium. RNAcentral describes it as "partial 16S ribosomal RNA". It matches the Rfam family "Bacterial small subunit ribosomal RNA", at positions 30 to 526 of the family's 1533-position model. The record is from RNAcentral.
AUUGAACGCUGGCGGCAGGCCUAACACAUGCAAGUCGAACGAGUGGCGGACGGGUGAGUAAUGUCUGGGAAACUGCCCGAUGGAGGGGGAUAACUACUGGAAACGGUAGUUAAUACCGCAUACCAUCGGAUGUGCCCAGAUGGGAUUAGCUAGUAGGUGGGUUAACGGCUCACCUAGGCCACGAUCCCUAGAUGGUCUGAGAGGAUGACCAGCCACACUGGAACUGAGACACGGUCCAGACUCCUACGUGAGGCAGCAGUGGGGAAUAUUGCACAAUGGGCGCAAGCCUGAUGCAGCCAUGCCGCGUGUAUGACGAAGGCCUUCGGGUUGUAAAGUACUUUCAGCGAGGAGGCGUUACUCGCAGAAGAAGCACCGGCUAACUCCGUGCCAGCCGCCGCGGUAAUUC